GGUUUAAUGAGUUUAAGAACCGAACCGAUUCUAUCGCACUAUCGUCUCGUCGUCGUUCGAUCUCCCUCUCUCCUUGCUUAGGCGCGCGCGCGUAGCCGCCGUGGUUAUCGCUCCCUCUCUCCGCAUGUGAUCGCCUCGAUGUCGUUCAAUUUCCGUCUCCGACGAUGUUAAGGUUAUAAAGAAGAGGAGGUGGGGAAAAAAACUUGACCAAACCAUUGGCGGAUUCGUUUGUGGAGGGGGCUUAUUUGCUUUUCUGUUGAUUUCUCAAGCGUUCUUUCAUGGUUUUUCAUUCUUUCAACUCCAAAGUUCCCGUCUUCAUCUCUCCAGUUUGUAUGCAAGUAUACCAAGAGCUUUACGUUGCUGGAUGUCCUGUUUUGUACUGAAUCAUUUGUUGGGCUGCUUAUCAUUCAUGUAGAUAAGUUUAGGUCUGUGGGAAUUCGAAUGUUUAUAUUAUAUUUGUGGGUCUUUGUUACGUUCUUCCUUGGAGCUCAUUGAUUGAUAAUUCAAGUUUCACAAUCUCUAAACGUUCAGGUCAGGCUCCACUUGAGCUAAAAUCUUUGAUUUUCUCAUGCAUUCUAGAAUAUUGCAACGCUUAUAAAAAGUUCAAAUGUUUUUCUUUUCCUCUUUUGUUUUCUUGACUUGGUGUGAUUUUAUUCAUCUUUUUUGUUGGAAAUGGCUACCGCUUAGCCUAAAUGUACUUAAUUAGAUAUUAUGCAUAUCCUUAUAGCGUGUGUUUGCUUUAUUAAUUAUUUCAUCAUGUGCCCAAUCUGCAUCCCUGGUUCAAGCUGGAGCCAGCUUUCUUUCUUAAUGGAUUCAAUCUCUCUUUUAUCGUUAAUCUGUUGAAUUGAAGCUCAAUUGCAACCUAACCAGGAUUAUUUAUUAAGUUAACACAUCUAUCGUGAUGAAUAAUUAAUAUAAUAGAAGUUUCUCUACUUUAUUUGCUGGUUCUUUAAGCUUUAAUGUUUCCGUAUGAACUUGAGUAAUGACUGAUGAAAUAUUUUAUUAAUGCAAUUUUGAGGAUGGAAAGCCUUUAAUUUAUUGCAAUUCUGUCCCAUGAUUUACUUUGUUACUUACCAAUAAAAUGCUUAAUUUUCAUCUGAUUUGUUUGUUUGCAUAAUCAUUUACGUCUGGUGAUAUCAGUUGAAGUGCAUGCAAGCUUGCCUGAAUACUCAUCAAUAUUAAAAAAAAAAAAAAAAAAACCCCUUUUGUUGCUCCUCCAAUCUUUUGGUUUGUUCUGUGUGUGAAUCCAUUAUUCAAUUGUAAGGGAUGCUUUUUUUCAA
This is a long non-coding RNA of Cucurbita moschata (crookneck pumpkin), 1280 nucleotides long. RefSeq lists it as uncharacterized. The record is from RefSeq and is a predicted model, not a curated record. NCBI's taxonomy places the organism in Eukaryota, Viridiplantae, Streptophyta, Magnoliopsida, Cucurbitales, Cucurbitaceae. The transcript has 3 exons.